GAUGAACGCUAGCGGCAGGCCUAAUACAUGCAAGUCGGACGGGAUUUGGGAGCUUGCUCCUAAUGAGAGUGGCGCACGGGUGCGUAACACGUAUGUAACCUACCUUAAUCAGGGGGAUAGCCUCUCGAAAGAGAGAUUAACACCGCAUAACAUAUUUUUAUGGCAUCGUAGAAAUAUCAAAUAUUUAUAGGAUUAAGAUGGGCAUGCGGAACAUUAGCUAGUUGGUAAGGUAACGGCUUACCAAGGCUACGAUGUUUAGGGGAUCUGAGAGGAUGACCCCCCACACUGGUACUGGGACACGGACCAGACUCCUACGGGAAGCAGCAGUAAGGAAUAUUGGUCAAUGGGCGCAAGCCUGAACCAGCCAUGCAGCGUGCAGGAAGACGGCCCUAUGGGUUGUAAAAUGCUUUUGUACCGGAAUAAACCCUUUUACGUGUAAAAGGCUGAAUGUACGGUAAGAAUAAGGAUCGGCUAACUCCGUGCCAGCAGCCGCGGUAA
Molecule: ribosomal RNA, 498 nt
Filed under: uncultured bacterium
Lineage: Bacteria
Description: partial 16S ribosomal RNA
Rfam family: Bacterial small subunit ribosomal RNA
Source: RNAcentral